GAUGAACGCUAGCGAUAGGCCUAACACAUGCAAGUCGAGGGGCAGCACGGGAGUAGCAAUACAACUGGUGGCGACCGGCGCACGGGUGAGUAACGCGUAUGUAAUCUACCUACAACAGGGGGAUAACCCGGAGAAAUCCGGACUAAUACCGCAUAAAACAGGGGUCCCGCCUGGGACUAUUUGUUAAAGAUUUAUCGGUUGUAGAUGAGCAUGCGUUCCAUUAGAUAGUUGGUAAGGUAACGGCUUACCAAGUCAGCGAUGGAUAGGGGAACUGAGAGGUUUGUCCCCCACACUGGAACUGAGACACGGACCAGACGCCGACGGGAGGCAGCAGUGAGGAAUAUUGGUCAAUGGGCGAGAGCCUGAACCAGCCAAAUCGCGUGAAGGAAGACUGCCUUAUGAGUUGUAAACUUCUUUUACAGGGGAAUAAAAAGACAUACGAGUAUGUCAUUGCAUGUACCCUGUGAAUAAGCAUCGGCUAACUCCGUGCCAGCAGCCGCGGUAA
Molecule: ribosomal RNA, 505 nt
Filed under: uncultured bacterium
Lineage: Bacteria
Description: partial 16S ribosomal RNA
Rfam family: Bacterial small subunit ribosomal RNA
Source: RNAcentral